CAUAGGUUAAUGAGGCGAACCGGGGGAACUGAAACAUCUAAGUACCCCGAGGAAAAGAAAUCAACCGAGAUUCCCCCAGUAGCGGCGAGCGAACGGGGAGCAGCCCAGAGCCUGAAUCAGUGUGUGUGUUAGUGGAAGCGUCUGGAAAGGCGCGCGAUACAGGGUGACAGCCCCGUACACAAAAAUGCACAUACUGUGAGCUCGAUGAGUAGGGCGGGACACGUGGUAUCCUGUCUGAAUAUGGGGGGACCAUCCUCCAAGGCUAAAUACUCCUGACUGACCGAUAGUGAACCAGUACCGUGAGGGAAAGGCGAAAAGAACCCCGGCGAGGGGAGUGAAAAAGAACCUGAAACCGUGUACGUACAAGCAGUGGGAGCACGCUUAGGCGUGUGACUGCGUACCUUUUGUAUAAUGGGUCAGCGACUUAUAUUCUGUAGCAAGGUUAACCGAAUAGGGGAGCCGAAGGGAAACCGAGUCUUAACUGGGCGUUAAGUUGCAGGGUAUAGACCCGAAACCCGGUGAUCUAGCCAUGGGCAGGUUGAAGGUUGGGUAACACUAACUGGAGGACCGAACCGACUAAUGUUGAAAAAUUAGCGGAUGACUUGUGGCUGGGGGUGAAAGGCCAAUCAAACCGGGAGAUAGCUGGUUCUCCCCGAAAGCUAUUUAGGUAGCGCCUCGUGAAUUCAUCUCCGGGGGUAGAGCACUGUUUCGGCAAGGGGGUCAUCCCGACUUACCAACCCGAUGCAAACUGCGAAUACCGGAGAAUGUUAUCACGGGAGACACACGGCGGGUGCUAACGUCCGUCGUGAAGAGGGAAACAACCCAGACCGCCAGCUAAGGUCCCAAAGUCAUGGUUAAGUGGGAAACGAUGUGGGAAGGCCCAGACAGCCAGGAUGUUGGCUUAGAAGCAGCCAUCAUUUAAAGAAAGCGUAAUAGCUCACUGGUCGAGUCGGCCUGCGCGGAAGAUGUAACGGGGCUAAACCAUGCACCGAAGCUGCGGCAGCGACGCUGAUGCGUUGUUGGGUAGGGGAGCGUUCUGUAAGCCUGCGAAGGUGUGCUGUGAGGCAUGCUGGAGGUAUCAGAAGUGCGAAUGCUGACAUAAGUAACGAUAAAGCGGGUGAAAAGCCCGCUCGCCGGAAGACCAAGGGUUCCUGUCCAACGUUAAUCGGGGCAGGGUGAGUCGACCCCUAAGGCGAGGCCGAAAGGCGUAGUCGAUGG
Molecule: ribosomal RNA, 1218 nt
Filed under: Escherichia coli
Lineage: Bacteria; Pseudomonadati; Pseudomonadota; Gammaproteobacteria; Enterobacterales; Enterobacteriaceae
Description: partial 23S ribosomal RNA
Rfam family: Bacterial large subunit ribosomal RNA
Source: RNAcentral